AUGAAGCUUCUGUUCCAUAAGAUGGAUCACCUAUUUCCUUUUGUUUUUACUUUGGUGCCUACUUUCAUUUUUGUGAACUCGACUUGGCUCAUCCUGCCACGAUCCUUAGCUUUCUAUAUUUACAAAUUUUGCUGUCAUAUGUUGUUUGAAACUGAAAUCUCUAGAGUUUCAGCACACUGUAAAAAAAGAAUUUUGCUGAACACUAACCAGCCGGUUGGAAUGUUUAAGCCUGCUCUGGUACAGAGUGCACCGUGCAUACAGCAGAACCAAGUGGCUUCGACUGUACGGUGUGGUUGCAGGCAGGCAACUAGUCUAGUGGCUGCCUAG
RNAcentral lists this ribosomal RNA (327 nucleotides) under Triticum aestivum (bread wheat). Its description in RNAcentral is "partial small subunit ribosomal RNA". Lineage: Eukaryota; Viridiplantae; Streptophyta; Magnoliopsida; Poales; Poaceae. The record is from RNAcentral.